CUCCCGGAAGCACAUACGCACGCUAGGCAACGUCCUAGUAAUUUAUUAUUAUUAUUAUUAUUAUUAUUAUUAUUAUUAUUAUUAUUAGUUACCUACCGUAAUUAAGAAUACGUUUAAUGUGUUUAUAAUAUGUAUAGUGUUCAGCCUAUAAGAUUUUUUUUUUUUACUUUUACAUUAGUCUACCUCUCUUGAAAUUUCCACCAUGUUGUAGUUUUUACUCUGUCCACCGCGGUUUAGUGAACACGAGGACGCUUUCUACAAAGGACUACAUAUCCCAGCUGCAACCACGACGUUUACGGAAGUGAGCUCUUCAGGUUCAACCGUUACCGGCUGUGCUCGUUAUCAACAUAUCGACUGUGUUAGAAAACUGAAACGGCUACAGGGAAAGAAUACCGUACUGUCUCUUGAAAUAAAUGCUGAAAUGAAGCCUUCGCUAUACUCCGACGAAGAUGAAGAGAUAGGAACUUAUCAGGAGAAAUUGAGAGCGGGCCAACCGCAGUAUUCAGCAGCUAAGCAGCGUGCUGGUGAACCAGAGCUCCAAUGCUGAGGCACUGGAGCAAUCGAGCAGUCAGCACAGCCCACCAGAGAGCUCGAGACAACUAACACAGCAGAUGAAAGCAGUCAGUCAGCUGCGUUAAUUGCUUCAGAAACAACCGAAAGAAGUCAACUCUCCUUCACCUUCAAAAAGGAAACCUGUUCCAAAGUGUCACAAACGACUCGUUCAAUGAUCCGUUCUAAAGGAUUCAUUCUAAACUCCUCCUUUCUGAGAGCAUACUCUGCUCUGAUUGGUCAGAUGCCCCUGUCUUUUGUGACUGGUCUACCGCAGUCAGCAUGUUGAAAAGGAAACGCCUACUAUCAUAACAAGUUUCAGCUGUCUUUCAGCGAGCAGCUAAUGAAGACCAGAGGGUCCAGGGUUCGAGUCCUGCCGGGGCCAUGUGUGUGCGGAGUUUGCAUGUUCUCCCCGUGCGGCGGGUACUCCAGUUUCCUCCCCCAGUCCAAAGACAUGCAUGGUAGGCUGAUUGGUGUGUCUAAAUUGUCCAUAGUGUAUGAAUGGGUUUGUGAAUGUGUAUGUGAGUGUGCCCUGCGAUGGACUGGCACCCUGUCCAGGGUGUACCCCACCUCGUGCCCGAUGCUCCCUGGGAUAGGCUCCAGGUUCCCUGUGACCCUGAAAAGGAGUAAGUGGUAGAAGAUGGAUGGAUUUACUAUUUCACAUUUUGAAGCAGUCAGCAAAAGAAAGCCAUUAAGGAGAACAAUAUAUUUAGCCCCUGUGCUGGGGGAUGAUAGGUCUGCUUAGUGUGAAAAUCUCAGCUAAGAGCCAGCAAAGAGCAUAGAGGCCAUAUGACGCCUGCAUUUUAAAUGCAUUUCAUGUGAUAAACUGGACAUGUCUGAGGUGGUUGGAAAGCCCAUUUUCUCUAGUUUCAGGAACUUUUUGAAUGGUGUCUCUAUGCCCAUCCAAAGUGGAGAAAGCUUAUCAGCAAUGAUGUGCUCCCCAGCUUAAGUUAAAACCUAAAGGCCUGCAGACUGGACUGCCAUCCUGUGGACAAUUGUGGAAUCUACAUUAUAAAUGUUAAUAUAUAUUUACUAUAUGUAAUGUAAUUGGAAUUAUUAUAUUAUUAUAAAAGUGUUUACAUAUAUUUUUUUAUUUAAAUUAUUUAUUUUAUGAUUUUAUAAAGGUGGACUUUUGGAUACCUCCACAUGUGCUCUAAAAAACUAUUAGGGUGUACUAUAUACCAUAAUAAAAGAUAACACCAUGUUUAAGCUGUGUGGUCCUGCUCUAUAAGGGAUGUUCCAGUAC
Ictalurus furcatus (blue catfish) is the source of this 1795-nucleotide long non-coding RNA. RefSeq lists it as uncharacterized. The record is from RefSeq and is a predicted model, not a curated record. NCBI's taxonomy places the organism in Eukaryota, Metazoa, Chordata, Actinopteri, Siluriformes, Ictaluridae. The transcript has 5 exons.